GCCCGGGUGGCGAAAUAGGUAGACGCAAGGGACUUAAAAUCCCUCGAUCGUGAGAUCAUGCCGGUUCGAUUCCGGCCUCGGGCACCA
Molecule: transfer RNA, 87 nt
Filed under: Gammaproteobacteria bacterium
Lineage: Bacteria; Pseudomonadati; Pseudomonadota; Gammaproteobacteria
Description: tRNA-Leu
Rfam family: tRNA
About the family: Transfer RNA (tRNA) molecules are approximately 80 nucleotides in length. Their secondary structure includes four short double-helical elements and three loops (D, anti-codon, and T loops).
Source: RNAcentral